RNAcentral lists this ribosomal RNA (563 nucleotides) under uncultured bacterium. RNAcentral's name for it is "partial 16S ribosomal RNA". It matches the Rfam family "Bacterial small subunit ribosomal RNA", at positions 355 to 1375 of the family's 1533-position model. The record is from RNAcentral.
UGGGGAAUAUUGCACAAUGGGCGAAAGCCUGAUGCAGCAACGCCGCGUGAGUGAUGAAGGCCUUCGGGUUGUAAAGCUCUGUCUUUUGGGACGAUAAUGACGGUACCAAAGGAGGAAGCCACGGCUAACUACGUGCCAGCAGCCGCGGUAAUACGUAGGUGGCAAGCGUUGUCCGGAUUUACUGGGCGUAAAGGAUGCGUAGGCGGAUUUUUAAGUGAGAUGUGAAAUACCCGGGCUUAACUUGGGUGCUGCAUUUCAAACUGGGAAUCUAGAGUGCAGGAGAGGAGAAUGGAAUUCCUAGUGUAGCGGUGAAAUGCGUAGAGAUUAGGAAGAACACCAGUGGCGAAGGCGAUUCUCUGGACCGUAACUGACGCUGAGGCAUGAAAGCGUGGGUAGCAAACAGGAUUAGAUACCCUGGUAGUCCACGCCGUAAACGAUGAGUACUAGGUGUAGGAGGUAUCGACCCCUUCUGUGCCGCAGUUAACACAAUAAGUACUCCGCCUGGGAAGUACGAUCGCAAGAUUAAAACUCAAGGGAAUUGACGGGGUCAUAGCUGUUUUCCU